Molecule: long non-coding RNA, 10646 nt
Organism: Mus musculus (house mouse)
Lineage: Eukaryota; Metazoa; Chordata; Mammalia; Rodentia; Muridae
Product: predicted gene, 40208
Exons: 2
Source: RefSeq, a predicted model, not a curated record
GCCUAUUGUUGUGGAGUUUCUGCAACCAGAAAUAAGUGCUUUGCCUCUUUUCUGGAUAGCACAGAUAUUUAGUAGUUUACUGAGGCAGUCCCUCUCAUGAAACCCAGAACCCACACACUGGCUGGCUCCUGGGAUCUCCUGUCUCCAGUGCCUGGUUAACAGGUGGGUCACCAUACUGUCCUUUACCACAUGUGGGUGAUGGGAUCUGAACUUUGGGUCUCAUGCUUACGUAGUAAGGUACUUUAUCUCCUGAGUCAUCUCUUUAGCUCCAGAAGUGUUUUUUGUAAAAAUAGUUUUGAAAUGUAUUGAAUGCAUAAAACCACAAAAAAUUACCCAUAUGGAUGCUUACAUACAGGAGUACAUUAUGUAAAGUUUAAAUCAAGUUAAACCUACCAUCUCCCCAAACAUGUAGUAUUUCUUUUGGUGAAGAAUUCUAACAAUUACAACUUUCAAUUUUUUUCUCCUUGCCUUCUGAAAUGUAUAGUAUGUUGUUCCCAUUGUCAACAAAGACCUCUAGUGUCACCCAUACCUUCUUCUGCCUGUCUCACCAUCCUCUGGUGCCAGAGGUCCCACUUUCGCCAUCCAUCUUGCUGACAUCGAUUUUGAAUUUGAACCUCAAGUUUCUUGAAUCAGCUAAUGUGACUACCCCUAACCUGCCCUCAGGGUAUACAUCCAGGAGGAAAUGUUCUGAGUCCCAUAUAAACCUAGCAUACCAUUUAAUCCCUAAGUGCCAUUCUGUCUGAAGCAGAAGGCAAGGAUUCUCUCAAUAGAGACCUACCAUUUUCCCUAAAUAGAGAAAGGAGGGUUAGCAGUUGCAGUUUAUGAGAUGUAACUAUGUGUGCAAUUGUACUGGCCACAGGGAGAAUUUUAGGACUGGGCUCCAUCAUUCUUUACAUUUGCUGGGCAAGUGGGAACCUCUCCUCUCAGAGCUCCAUUCAAGUAUUACAAUGGGAGAGCGUGUUUGUGUGUGCAUGUGUGUAUGUGUGCACAAAUGCACUGUAUGUUUGUAUUCAUGUACAUGUAUGUGUGUGCUGGUGCAUGUGCACGAGGAGGGCAGUGGCCAAGGCUGUAGCUCAAUGAUUCAAUAAGACUAUCUGGCCAGUGAGCUCUAGUAAGUCUCUGGGCUCUGCCUUGCCAGUACUAGGAGCCCAGGCAUGUACUGCCCCAUCAGGCAUUUUACCUGGACUCUGGGGACCAGAACUCAGGCCCUCACACUGAGCCCUUUAUCACCGAACCAUCUUCCCAGUCUCCAAUUGGUUUUGUAUGUAGUCUAUUGUAAAUAUGCAAAUAAUUGCUUUUUAAUUUUAUUUUUCAAAGCUAGGUUCUUGACUUUGUUGGAGGGAAACUAUGGAGUCGAGUACUUUCCUUUUCAGUUCUUUUUGUGGGAUCAUUUGAAAUAUCACAUCAUCAAGUAGGAUUAUCAUGAAUGUUAAAUGAUACAGUUCCCAGCUUUGGCAGAAGGGAGAGCGUUCCAUUGUAUUUAGCCAUUUCAGGAAUUUUAGCCUUACAAGAAAAUGUAGCUUUUUCUUUCCUAGCUGGAUUUUGUUUCACCUAGGAGACAGAAAGCCUUGUGAGCCAUCUCAGGAAUCACCCUGGCUUCAUCCUCUUGCCCAGACUGGCCCCUCCCUCCUCCAUUCCUCAGUUCCAACCCCCACCCCCAGCCACAGUUAGCUUGUACUGUGUGCAAGUGCUUAUGCAGGUGAGCGGUGCCCUGGUGCCCUCUGGGUCUCAAGCCUUGGUGGGAAGACAGAUGGGAAUUACGUGCAGUGAGAAAUCAUGCCAGAGCAGAAGUCCACCUCAGUCAGCAGGGUGCAGGGCCAGAGGAAGGAGUGAUUAAUUCUGCCAAGAGUUUGCUCUUCUGCUCUGGCGAACCCUCUAGAUUCCGAGGAGAUAUCUGUGUUGUGUUAACAGGCCUAUCAGGCACUAGGAAAGAAUGGAAGUAUGUUUUGUGCCCAAGAAGGGUGUUGGUUGAAGCAAACACUAACCUGCACGAAUCCACCAAGACCCUUUCAAAUGUUUAAGAGAAAGCUAUUGAGUAAAGUUUUUUAAAAGUUUUUAACAAAUGCAUUUAAAUGACAAAUCAAAGUUGGUAAACCCAACAGACAGUGUCCUUGAGGGGAGUGAUUAUGUCACAUACUGGGAAUGCUGUACAGGAGAUGGCAUUCCCAGGAGCUAUUUCUGCAAUACCAGGGGGGUCCAUUAACCUUGGCAGAAGUCUCUCAUUCCCCCAAAUGAGAACCUUUUGAGUUCACUAUAGAUUAUCCUGUAGUGCAGUGUGGGUUUUAAAUUUAGCAAAGCUGGAGCCUGCAGAAAACCAAAUCAAGAAGAUGGGAGAGAGAAGAUUUGGGUUUGAGCCAAUAAACGUAUUCAUUUAGGGCAGAGGGUUGGUUUGAGCCUGUCAGGCCUCACAUGCCUUUCAGAAGAACGGUUGGCCAUUUUCAGUUUUUAGAAAAUAUUUUCACAUAUUUAUUUUAUUGCUAUGUGGAAUGAUUGAAACAUGGUGAGCACCAGAUCUCCAUUCUCCCUCCCCCACCCCCGCCAGAGCUGCCCCAUUCCCCUGGUGUUACCCCUCCCCUGAUACUGUCCCACCCUUCCCUGGUCAUUACCUACCUUCUUCUGGUUCUAGGACUUUCCCCUGCUGCUAUUCCCCUCCCCUGCCUGGGACUCACCUCUCCCCCUGGGACUCACCCCGCCCCCAUCUUGCCCCCUUUCUCGUUCUGUCCCUCUAGUUCUAUUUCCCUUCCCAGUGAUGCUCUGAGUGGUCCCACAGUUUGGGUACCUGAACCAGUUCUUCACAGCUGGGAUGCUGACCAAGAGAGCAGGGAGGCCUUUGUUGAGUGCCCUAUCUACAGUGGUCACCAAAAGGCACCUUAUCGAGUGGGUGCUCAUGAAAGCCCCUUGUUUUUUGAUUGUAGAAUGUUUUUCCAGUUAACCGAGUUUAUUAUCAAGACAAUUUCAUAGGGUUUUCAUUUCCUUGAUUGUUAAAUAGUUUGUGACAUUGGGUUUUUUUUAAAUAUAUAAAUAAAAAAUGUAAGCUGUCUAUUUAUCUGUUUACUUCUUUAAAGUACAAUAGAAAGACUGUACUUGUCAAAAUGCUGAGAACGAAGGAGAUUUUGAUACAAAAUAGAAUUUCUAGUUUUUGUUUUUGAGUUUUUAUUCACUCAAAAAGACAAAAAGUUAUCUCUUUAUUUUUUGUUAUGUUUUAUUUAUUUAUUAUUGAAAAUAGAUCUUCUUUCAUACAGUAUAUUCUGAUUACAGUUUCCCCUCCCCAUCUCCCCCAGAUUCUCUCCACCUCCCCACCCUCCCAAAUCCACCCCCAUUUUUUUCUCUUUAGAAAACAAAUAGGCAUCUAAAUAAUAGUAAUAACAGUAGGCAUUUUAGUCAGUGUGUUAGUGACACCUCAGUUACUUCUGGUCUGUCAGAGAGAUACUGCAUGCCCCAUUUAUUCUUGUGCAGUCACUAUUUUCUCAGGACAUAAAGUUUGUAAGAAAGAAAUUAUGUGGACUAAAAGAAUUUAGGACUUUUAGGGGAAAUCUCAAGCUAACUUGUCGAGCUUCCUUCCAGAGAGGUUAACAAGCCCAGAUUUCUAAUGAUUGGCUCCGGAGUGCAGGUCCCCUGAUUCUGAACGUGGUGUUCUUUGAGGGACUGUUAAGCCAAAUACCUCCAAGGUCUCCUCUCUGAAGCCCUCACAUUUGUGAGUACUUACUGCAGACUCAACGGGAUAAUGAAGUGCUCUGGUGGAAGAUCCCUCAGAGGUUAACUUUACGUGGAAUGUUACGGGCCUUGUACUCUAAGGUGCAGCCAAUAACAAGAGAAAAAGCGAGCUGGCUCUCUGCCUUCCAUGCAAAGGUUAUUUUUCUUAUUACAACAAAACUAAUUAGUGGGUUUUAUAAUGUAAGAAACUGUUGCUGUUAGUAAAGUUUCCUCAGCGCCAGGAAGCAGAUGGCGGCGGUGAACAGUGUUUUCUUUUGCCAGGGUUUGUAUAUGCUUCGAAACCUGCAAGAGAUUUUGCCUUUCUGGAUUCAUAUUUCUGAUCUUUCUUAUUUUAAAACAGAAAUAGAAACUUAUAUUUAAACGUGCUUCCAUCAUGUGGUCUGUUUGACAUAUCGUGGUUGCUUGAAAAUGUUGAAUAACAUUUGAUGUUCCUCAUGAAUUUCUCUUCACCAGUGUUUUCUGCUUCUUCUCCUUGGGGAAGGCAAGACUCUGCCCUCAGAGCACCACAACAGGGACUUAGAGUUGGUUGGGAAAAGCAGCCCAUGAGAUCUUUUUGUUUUGUUCCCAAUUUCUACAUAAAUCCCAACUUUUCUCAGAGAGGUUUCUUAGAGCCUGCCUAUCUUCAUUGUGACAUCAGUGUGAAUAAUUUACUCUGCUAUCUGCUAGUGAGACAUGAGUCUCUGUUAACUUAAGUGUCUUUCUGGUCAUUGUUUAAACUGUGUGAGACAGCUGAAGCACAUCACUACAAUAUCAACACAGCAGUGGCGUUAAUAACAGGACGUGGGCUGAUUUUAAGAGCAGUUGCAAACACACAUGCUUAGGAUGGUGUGGUGUGAAGUUGUUCUGUGUGAUGGAGAAUUAGCACUUUUGACUAAGACUAUCAAACCAUCAAAUAAAUAAGAAAGAGGAAUCAUUAAAUGUAUAGAACUACAAUAUAAAAACCAAUCCGAUUUUUUAAAAAUUAUUUGAGCAAAAGUAAGAAAAAUAUACUGUCCGCAAAGUACUGUUUUAGCUCAUUUCUGAUACUAUAGCAAAACACCAGAGGCUAGAUAACUUAUAAGAAGAGAGGUUUAUUUUGACUUUGGAGGAUGAAAAUCUAAGCAGCAUGCCCCCAGCUGGCAAGGAUUUCUGGCUUCAUUACCUCAUGAUAUCAUAGCAUGACAUCAUAGCAGGUUUUUGGACAAGACGGAGAUACCAGAUAGCAAGACAGAAAGACUAGGAAGAGAUCAGACAUAUCCAUGGUCUCACAAGGUCAACUUCCCACUAGGUCUCACCUUUUCAGAGGUGCUGCAAUGGAGAGUGAGCUUCCAACAGACACCAGAAUUCUUUGGGGACAAGCCAUGUGGGAAUCAGAGCCGCUGUGAACAUGUGAAGCCUGUGGGGUAAUGGGUUGCUUUGAAAGGUGAUGACUUUCAAUCCAAGGGAAGAAAAACUGCCAUGUCUUCCGUGACCCCCAUGAUAGACUAUGGAAUUACAGUUUCUUCACUUCACCCUUCCUAACCUAGUCACUCACAGAUGUGAUGAGACACUGGGUCACCUUCCUUCCGGGAUAAGUACAUUUUAAUCUCUAGCUUUUCCUGCAUCCACUGCAGUUGGCUUUCUGUCCCACUUUAAACCUGUUGUCUUGUUUCUGCCACCUGGUCUACGGUGCCACUGCUUUGUUCUUCUUUUUAAAAAAUUAUAAUAGGAUUUUGUGGGGUUUUUUCUAAUCCCCAAAAUAAUGCAAGACAGAAUUGGACAAGGCUGUGUCAAACACUAUUGCUUCAAUGUCCUGGGUGCUGAUGCUGCCAGAGUGAAGAAUAACCAUCUGACUCUUCAUGAAAAGGCACCUGCUGUAUAAGCCCAUUGACCUGAGUGAGUUCAAGACCAUGAGCAGGAGGAAGGAAGGAGCCAGUUUCAGAAGAUUGUGCUUAAAUCUUUAUAAAGCAUUGCAUGGACACAGAGACCAUCCCCAACAACAACAACAAAUAAUAAUAAUAAUAAUAAUAAUAAUAAUAAUAAUAAUAAUAUAAGGAGAGAGAAUAAAGGAAGAAAAAGGAUUGCUCUUCCAGGGGGAUAGAAGAGAUAACUCAGCCCAAGUAUGAGGACUGGAGUUUAGAUCUCUCGAGCCUUGUAUCUGCCUGGCAGGGUGGAUGCCUGGAUGCCUGACCUCAGUCCUUGGCAUCCCAGAGUAAGCUUACUAGUUAGACUAGUUAAAUAUGUGACACUCUGCAUCAGUACAUAAGGUGGACGCGAUGGAGGAUGAAACUCAUGUCAACCCCUGGCCUCUACACAAAUGUACACAUGAUUGAAGGCUGACAGUCUAAACACCAUGACCCCAGCUGGCAAGGGUCUUCUUGGCUGCAUCACAUUGCACAUACAGAUACACACACACACACACACACACACACGCAUAACAUACUCGCACAUGCAUGUUACAUUUUUUUUAAUUAAGAAUCGCUCUCAGAACCUGGUAGGGGAGAAGGGGGUCCCGUGGAAGUGGGCUGUGAUUGGCAGGUAGAUCAGCCCACCAGUGUUUCAAACACCAAGGAUGCAGCAGCUUCUCCUUACGUUUGUUUUUGCUUUGCCUUUUUUUUUUUUCACAUUCACUCUUAUGAGGAAAAUAUAUGAAAAACAAGAGUCAAGAGAUUGGUGAUUUUUGUUGAAUAUAAAAUAAACAGAUAAGCCCUUUCUGGUUUGUAGAAAUUGCUACCUCCCCCUUCUACCACUGGCAAAUGUUAGAAAAUCUUUGAACUUAAAGAAACUCCAUGAGGGGCUGAUAGAAGUGGCCACUUAAAGCACCAGCCGCUGCCUUCUACAGCGCAAGCUGAAUGUGAGGGUCUGACUGGCCCUGGCCACUUUGGGACUAGGAGGGUUUCCAAUGCCUUGCACUUGUGAUAAGAACUAAUUGACUCAACCACCCACAGAAAAGGAGCUUUUGCUCUGAGAAUGCCUGAGGGAUGCAUGCUGACUUUUGAAGGAUGAACCAGAAUGUAUAUUAUUUGAUGCCAUAUGCAAAUAAUUAAGAAGAGACCUCCUAGUAAACAUGAUUUCUCAGUAAAAUAAGUCUAGGCAGUAAUAAUUUUAAAAGCAUGCACCCUGAAAGACUUCACAUGGCUAAUCCCUCACGAAUUCUUACUGUUGUUUGGAAGACAACUUAAAUUCAGAAUUUUACUGAGCAAACUGCCUUUCCAUCCCAGUUACUGAGAGGAGAAUGGUUUUCCUCUUAGCCAGCGUGAGAGAGGAGAAACAUGGAGACUGUGUCCUAUGAAAAACCAGCAGGACCAGAGACUGAGGUCAGGUGACAGUGAAGGCUGGGUGCAUGACCGUGUGACUUCUGGUGGCACUUGGAAGACGGUUCAGAAUUUCAGAACUAGGUGAGCAUGUGAGUCUUAUGGUCCAGGUUUGGUCUCCCUUGUUAUUACAGUUUCCUACACUGCAUUAACUCACACAAUUCUGAAGUUUUAUAAUCUGGGGCAGCUUUGGUGCUAUAUUAAAAUUCAGUGGGAGAACUACUGGCUAAUCUUCUUAGGAUGUUCAGCUGCUCCAUGCUAGAAGGAUACACAGAGAUUGAUGUCUUCCAAGUGUGGUUCAAACAUCCAAAGCACUGAGAUUAGCACCAUGUGAAGAAACUUUAAAAUAUUGUACUGCAAUUAAUUUUAAAUAACUUAGCACUGCAUAUGUCAAGGGUGGGGGGAAGCCAUAAUAGACUCCAAAUGGAACUCCCCAAAGUAGAAUGAAUUGCCCAAAUCAUUUACAUCAUUUAUCAUAAGGACAUAGAAGCCCAAAAUAUGACUGUUUUCAUUUGAAGAUGAGUGAACUUUGAGAGACUUCUAUUCCACCUGUGGUGAUACAGAGGCGUUCGAUGGAGGGACAUCCAUAUAUUGUACAUUUUUAUUAUAGGCCCCAACGUCAAGGAGAAAACUUUCUGUUAAUGUAGAAAUGGAGAUCAUGUUGUUUUGCAGAUAUGUGUUAAAGAAAUUCUGAAAUAUUUUUUAAAAGAGUUAGUGAUAUAGUUCAGUGGUACAGUGAUGGUCUGCCUUGCAUAAGGCCCUCCAUUCCAUUUCUUACACAGUUUAAAAAGCUACUAUUGUCAGGGUAGAAAGAUGGCUCAGCAGUUGUGAGCACAUGCCGCUAUUGCAAAGCAGCUGGGUUCAGUUCCCAGCACCCACAUGGUGGCUAACAAGGGAUCCAACAACCUCUUCUGACCUCCACAGGCACCAGGCAUGAAAGUGCUACAUAGACACACAUAUAUGCAAGACCCUUAUACCAAUAAAAUGAAUGAAUCAAAUUUUCCCUUUUAAAAAAGCAGUGUUGUCUUAAAGUCUAAGCUACAACUCUACUAAGUUAUUUAGUAGCUUUCAAAGCAUAAUAAUUUUUAUCUGGAUGACAUAAUGGGUCAAGAUAUAAGGAGAAAGCUUUCAUUGUUUGUAUGCUUGUGUGGUGAAGGGUUAGCCAAAUGACUGAAGAUAAAAACUCUUGCAACUCUUGGGCCAUUUGUGGUCAUUGAUAAGGUAGAGAAGAGAAGAGAUGGUCUUUGACUUUCAAGGAGAACUGCACUUGUGUUAUUGCUAGUUGUGCUUAACGACGAUCAACAGUGAGUAAGUACCUUGGAAUCCCUUCUGUGCCUUGACUGCGGCCAAACCAACAAAGCAGUUACUAGGAAUCUGCUUCAGGUACUGAACCUGAGAGCUGGAAAACCUUCAGAGGCCAGAGGACUUCCCUUGCUUUUAGCUUUUCCAGCUUGGAAAGGUGAGAGUUUACAUGUCUAAGAGGGAAAAAUGGUUGAGUUAGGACCAUAAAGUAGGCCUCUGAGUCCUAGAAGGUCUGCCCUUACCACACAAAACAUCCGCAUUGCCGUAACCCAGUCCUCCCAGUACCAGACCAUCUACCCAAAGCAACCAUGGCAUCCUCCAGGAUAGGACCAGUUGUAUUCCGUAGCCCAGAACACUAUAUGUUUUUGUCUUCUAAUUUCAUUUCUCUCUCAGUGGUACCGUAGUCCCUGUGUGUUCACGCACUGUAGUAUCUGCUGCAGAAAAGAAAGAACAUAGAAAUAGGCAGAGUUGAUACCAUUUGAAAAGUGGCUCCACACAGUGAACACUUAGAGAUUGGUCACUCCCAUAACCAGCAAGGCACGUUAUGUCACAGACAAACCUCCAUAGUCGUGAGAGUCACCUGUUAGGAGGAAGGAAAGGGGGCGAAGGCCUUCCCAACCCCACACAGCCACAAGAGAAACCAGGAAGGGCUGGAAUCCAUAUUUCCUUGUACAAAACUCUCUGCCAAAACUGCCAUUUCUAUGAAAGAGAAAUGAAUGAACCAAUCAAUCAGAUCGAUGAAUACUCUCCAUUUUCUACCACCCAUGAAAUUGUUGUUGUUAGACACAGUCUGGUUUUUUUUAAACAUUAUUUUAAUAGUUUACACCAUUUGCAUCAAUGCCAAUUUUGCGGUGAACACCCAGCUUUUCACCUGUGUUAACUUUGCCUAACACUCUCUUUGUUUUAUUAGAAAUGGUCACCUCAGUCAGCCCUUGCUACUAACAGUCAGGAUCCAGACCCCUGUAACUAAGGUUACCAAGGUACAUUUAGUUGCACUGAGGCCACUGUCAGUAAGGAAGUACACACAGCUGUGACAGUGUGCAGUCGAUUCUUUUCCUUAAGCAGCAGGAGAUGGGAUCCCAUUGGGAGAUGUUACAGAAUCCCCUGCACUGUUAUUGCCCUGACUGACUCAGCUCAUUUGCGGGUCAGUGCCUUACCUGUCCUCAUUGUCUGCCCCACAGUAUAGAAAGUGGAAGCUGCAUAGUAGGUGCUGAAUUCAUGAAUGGGUGGAUUGAGUGACCAGGCCCAAAGACAAAAGACACGGGGCCAGUGUCAUUUCAGGAAAAAUGGUACACUCACAUUCCUCCUUCAGCUGAGAGCAGUGGCGUGAACAUGGCUACUCUGAAGAAUCUUUGGCUUGCCCAUCUCCCUGGUCCCAUCUCUCAGCAGUAUGGGAACUCCUGCAUCUAGGGAGAUGGAACCUUCGUGCUUACCCUGUCUGCAUAACCAGCCGCUCUCUCAUUAAGUGCCUAUGCUUUUCAGACAAACUGUUGCUCCUCCCUUCUCCCUCACAGCUUGUCAUAGACUUAUUUUCUGAUCUGGAUGUGUCAGGGCCACAGUGACUUGAGAUUAGUUGUCUCAUCCCUGCCCGCCAUGCUUUCUGCUUGACUGAAUUCAUUACUCCUUAGCUCUCCUUUCCCCAUUCUUCCUUGAUAGGAGAGAAAAAUGCCACAGUCACCCUCCAUCCUUGGUCUCCCCAAAUUCCUAGGGAUCCCCACCCUGGGGGCAGGACCCUCCUCUUCAAACCUUAACUGGACUUUUAGACAGUUGUCAUUAUCUUUGUCUAAAGGUCAUAGCUAAAUUGAAUAAGAGGAAAGCUGUGUUUUCCAGCCGAUGCACAAAGGCAGUAUUGACUUCCCUAAUCCAGUUUGCUGAGGGGUGAGAGAAUUAAAUUAGAUAUCUAAGCACAGAAAUUGAGAGCCUUUGAAAACAAAGAUAAGGAGACAAGACUGUAUUUUCCCUCUUCCUGGGAGCUCUGUGCUCAAGAUUUUGCAGGUGUGCCAUCUGAUCCAUGGCUCGCAUCGAUCAAAACUGUGCCAAUGCAUAUUUAAUCAGCGAGGGGACCUGGGUGCAUUAUAGCCAUCAUCCCUAUAUUGAAUGGACUGUCAGACUUUUCUGUAUGCUCCACCCCUACUCUCCACCCCCACUCGCCUCUCCCCCUGCCCCUCCCCUCCCUUGUUUGGGAAGCCUGUGCAUUUUCUGAGCGGCUAAAAAGUUUCUUUGUUUUUAGCUGCUGAUGCAUACAUUGCCACUGACGGGAAUACAAACAAGUGGAGCCCUGACGUGUUUAUUUUGUCUACCAGGACAAGCUAGCUACACCAGGCCGGUCCCUGCACAAAGGGUUCCAAAGCUUGAAAA